UACGGGGGGAGCAAGCGUUGUUCGGAUUUACUGGGCGUAAAGGGCGCGUAGGCGGUCAGCACAAGUCAGUUGUGAAAUCUCCCGGCUUAACUGGGAGGGUGCGCCGGAAACUGGAGUGCUCGAGCGUGGGAGAGGAAAGCGGAAUUCCUGGUGUAGCGGUGAAAUGCGUAGAUAUCAGGAGGAACACCUGCGGUGUAGACGGCUUUCUGGACCAUUGCUGACGCUGAGACACGAAAGCGUGGGUAGCAAACAGG
RNAcentral lists this ribosomal RNA (254 nucleotides) under uncultured bacterium. RNAcentral describes it as "partial 16S ribosomal RNA". It matches the Rfam family "Bacterial small subunit ribosomal RNA", at positions 524 to 776 of the family's 1533-position model. The record is from RNAcentral.